AUUGAACGCUGGCGGCUGGCUUAACACAUGCAAGUCGAGCGGUAACAGAGAGAAGCUUGCUUCCCUGCUGACGAGCGGCGGACGGGUGAGUAAUGCCUAGGAAUCUGCCUAGUAGUGGGGGAUAACUUGCCGAAAGGUAAGCUAAUACCGCAUACGUCCUACGGGAGAAAGGAGGGGACCUUCGGGCCUUUCGCUAUUAGAUGAGCCUAGGUCGGAUUAGUUAGUUGGUGAGGUAAUGGCUCACCAAGACCGCGAUCCGUAACUGGUCUGAGAGGAUGAUCAGUCACACUGGAACUGAGACACGGUCCAGACUCCUACGGGAGGCAGCAGUGGGGAAUAUUGGACAAUGGGGGGAACCCUGAUCCAGCCAUGCCGCGUGUGUGAAGAAGGUCUUAGGAUUGUAAAGCACUUUAAGUUGGGAGGAAGAGCAGUUAACUAAUAUUUGACUGUUUUGACGUUACCGACAGAAUAAGCACCGGCUAACUUCGUGCCAGCAGCCGCCGUAA
RNAcentral lists this ribosomal RNA (506 nucleotides) under uncultured bacterium. RNAcentral describes it as "partial 16S ribosomal RNA". It matches the Rfam family "Bacterial small subunit ribosomal RNA", at positions 30 to 523 of the family's 1533-position model. The record is from RNAcentral.